CUACGGGAGGCAGCAGUGGGGAAUCUUGCACAAUGGGCGCAAGCCUGAUGCAGCGACGCCGCGUGAGGGAUGACGGCCCUCGGGUUGUAAACCUCUUUCGGCAGGGACGAAGCGAUCAGUGACGGUACCUGCAGAAGAAGUCCCGGCUAACUACGUGCCAGCAGCCGCGGUAAU
Molecule: ribosomal RNA, 174 nt
Filed under: uncultured Actinophytocola sp.
Lineage: Bacteria; Bacillati; Actinomycetota; Actinomycetes; Pseudonocardiales; Pseudonocardiaceae
Description: partial 16S ribosomal RNA
Rfam family: Bacterial small subunit ribosomal RNA
Source: RNAcentral